This 497-nucleotide ribosomal RNA is filed under the name uncultured bacterium. Its description in RNAcentral is "partial 16S ribosomal RNA". It matches the Rfam family "Bacterial small subunit ribosomal RNA", at positions 28 to 507 of the family's 1533-position model. The record is from RNAcentral.
GAUGAACGCUGGCGGCAUGCCUAAUACAUGCAAGUCGAGCGAACAGACGAGGAGCUUGCUCCUCUGACGUUAGCGGCGGACGGGUGAGUAACACGUGGAUAACCUACCUAUAAGACUGGGAUAACUUCGGGAAACCGGAGCUAAUACCGGAUAAUACAUUGAACCGCAUUGUUCAAUAGUGAAAGACGGUUUUGCUGUCACUUAUAGAUGGAUCCGCGCCGCAUUAGCUAGUUGGUAAGGUAACGGCUUACCAAGGCAACGAUGCGUAGCCGACCUGAGAGGGUGAUCGGCCACACUGGAACUGAGACACGGUCCAGACUCCUACGGGAGGCGGCAGUAGGGAAUCUUCCGCAAUGGGCGAAAGCUUGACGGAGCAACGCCGCGUGAGUGAUGAAGGUCUUCGGAUCGUAAAACUCUGUUAUUAGGGAAGAACAAAUGUGUAAGUAACUAUGCACGUCUUGACGGUACCUAAUCAGAAAGCCACGGCUAACUACGUG